AUUGAACGCUGGCGGCAUGCCUUACACAUGCAAGUCGAACGGCAGCAUGGGUGCUUGCACCUGAUGGCGAGUGGCGAACGGGUGAGUAAUGCAUCGGAACGUACCCGGAAGUGGGGGAUAACGUAGCGAAAGUUACGCUAAUACCGCAUAUUCUGUGAGCAGGAAAGCGGGGGAUCGCAAGACCUCGCGCUUCCGGAGCGGCCGAUGUCGGAUUAGCUAGUUGGCGGGGUAAAGGCCCACCAAGGCGACGAUCCGUAGCGGGUCUGAGAGGAUGAUCCGCCACACUGGGACUGAGACACGGCCCAGACUCCUACGGGAGGCAGCAGUGGGGAAUUUUGGACAAUGGGCGCAAGCCUGAUCCAGCCAUGCCGCGUGAGUGAAGAAGGCCUUCGGGUUGUAAAGCUCUUUCGGCGGGGAAGAAAUCGCAUCUCCUAAUACGGGGUGUGGAUGACGGUACCCGAAUAAGAAGCACCGGCUAACUACGUG
This 486-nucleotide ribosomal RNA is filed under the name uncultured bacterium. RNAcentral's name for it is "bacterial SSU rRNA". It matches the Rfam family "Bacterial small subunit ribosomal RNA", at positions 29 to 507 of the family's 1533-position model. The record is from RNAcentral.